Long non-coding RNA from Gossypium raimondii (Peruvian cotton), 595 nucleotides. RefSeq lists it as uncharacterized. The record is from RefSeq and is a predicted model, not a curated record. NCBI's taxonomy places the organism in Eukaryota, Viridiplantae, Streptophyta, Magnoliopsida, Malvales, Malvaceae. The transcript has 2 exons.
ACCAGUGAAGUCAUAUACAAUUGAAAGGGGAAAGAAAAUGUUGUAAAUCUUCCAUCUUCAUUGUCCUUCCCUAUGUAUCAACACCAACCAAUUCCACUUCAAGCUUUUUUCUUGAACCCACCGAUAAGCAAGCAUGCAAUUGAGUAACUGACUAAAACAAAUUCAAGGUCAGCCAACUUAAACGAAAGGGGAGUUCUAUGUGGUGCGAUGAGAGAUCUUGGGAGAAGAAACAACUAUAUAUGUCAGAGCCGUAGACUACAUUGCUUACACACCAUUAUCGGGAAGUGAAGAUAGUGGAAGAAAAUAUUUUGUUGCAAUUAAUUGCUCUAGUUUUCUAGUAGAAACGAGAAAGGAGUAGCUUAGUUGGGCUGUAGAAUAUCUUUGUCAUAUACUCGUUUUGGUUGAAUCAAAGGAUCACAAUCAAUUUUCCUAUCACUUACGUGGGCUGGAUGGAUGAGGUAGACAAAGGAACAUUCCCAUUUCCAUCAUAACCCCAAACAUUAACUUUUAAUGGCAUAGGUUUAGUAUACCUUUGCAUUUUUUUUUCUAAUGGACUAUUUUUCCCAGAAGUUAUAUUCAAUAACUAGUGUCUAAA